UCUGCAUCUGUUGUUAAUCAUGACACCACCUACCUCAACAAGAAGCACUCUUGUUUUACUGUUUUGUCUGUUUUUUACAUUUCUACACGUCAACGUUAUUGGUUAUAACGGUCAGAAGUGUAACAGUAAUUUUUACGAGAAGCCCAGUCAGAGAAUCCUAAGAUGUGAACGCUGCAAUCAAGAGUGUUCUGGUUAGUAGUAGCACAACAUUUCCCAGCAUUUGAAUGCUAGUGAGCUUCGAAAAUGAC
Molecule: long non-coding RNA, 248 nt
Filed under: Sinocyclocheilus anshuiensis
Lineage: Eukaryota; Metazoa; Chordata; Actinopteri; Cypriniformes; Cyprinidae
Description: lncRNA (ENSSANG00000011456.1)
Source: RNAcentral